This is an RNA transcript of Coccinella septempunctata (seven-spotted ladybird), 1326 nucleotides long. RefSeq lists it as uncharacterized. The transcript has 10 exons. The record is from RefSeq and is a predicted model, not a curated record. NCBI's taxonomy places the organism in Eukaryota, Metazoa, Arthropoda, Insecta, Coleoptera, Coccinellidae.
UUUAUUAGAUUGAAAUUGGGGCGAAAGAUGCGAAUAAUCCACCUAUCAAUGGUCCAAACGUGUAAAUCAUGAACUAUUCAAACAUUGGUAUUGAUAAGCUCUAAAAAUAUACCUUUUUUAACCUUUCAAUACUUAAAUUUCACAUCUUAGUUACCUUCUCCAAAGAACGCUAAAGCGCCUGUGCGCCCGCCUCAUUUCGAUACGAGAUUCAAAAACAGUUGCCAUAAAAUAGUUAGCUUUGGUCGGACAUUUGCAAUUUCUAGAAUUUUCCGAUGCUUUCCUACGAUUUUCGACGAUUUCGAAUGAAUUUCCAACAGAAUAAAGAAAAGAAGUAAUUUCUACAGCAACUCACAAUGGAAAACGAUAAAUUCCAGAUUAUCCGUAAAGCAAGACUUCCACUGAAAAUUAUUUCAGGGGACUUAGAAGAAAAUCAAGAUGAUGACGAUCAGGAGGGAAGGAACUACUUAUUCAAUGGAUAAUUCAGAUGAAUAACAUGAAAGUGGUUGUUUGUGAUGAUUACAAAGAUGAAGCGAGAGAAAAGAAAUAAUUUCACUCGAACAAAAUCAACUACAGCAACUUAUGAUGGAAGACAAUAAAUUCCAGAUUAUCGGCAGAGUGAGACUUUCCCCUGAAAAUUAUUUCAGGGGACUUGGAAGAAAAUCAAGAUGAUGACGAUCAGAAGGGUAGGAACUUAAGCAAUGGACAAUUCAGCCACAUGAUAACGAGCACAGAACACAAAUAAUGCAGAGACAGGUUGUCUCUGCUUCUGUGGUUCUACUUGAUGCUGAUCUUAGUUACCUUGCUCGAAGAACGCUAAUGCGCCUGUGCCCCCGCCGUGUUUCGAUACGAGAUUCAAAAACAGUUGCCAUAAAAUAGUUAGCUUUGGUCGGACAUUUGCAAUUUCUAGAAUUUUUCGACGCUUUCCUAUGAUUUUCGACGAUUUCGAAUGAAUUUCCUACAGAUUAGAGAAAAGAAGUAAUUCCACUUGAACAAAAUCAACUACGGCGACUUAUGAUGGAGAACAAUAAAUUCUAGGCAAAGCAAGACUUUCCGUUGAAAAUUAUUUCAGAGGACUGAGAAGAAAAUCAAGAUGAUGACUAUCAGAGCGGAAAGAAAUACUCAAUCAAUGGACAUUUCAGAUGAAUAACAUGAAAGUGGUGAUUUGUGACGAUUACGAAGAUGAAACGAGAGAAAAGAAGCAAUUCCACUUGGACAAAAUUAUCUGGAAGAAAAUUUUCAGCUCCUCCAAUGGUAACGGAUAUCGAGACGACAAGAUUUUUUUACUAGGUUUUAGGUUAGAAAGGGAACAGGACGGAGCAGCCAGAG